Molecule: ribosomal RNA, 374 nt
Filed under: uncultured organism
Description: partial 16S ribosomal RNA
Rfam family: Bacterial small subunit ribosomal RNA
Source: RNAcentral
GUAGGGGAGCAAGCGUUGUUCGGAAUCAUUGGGCGUAAAGAGCGCGUAGGUGGCUUGGUAAGUCUGUUGUGAAAGCCCACAGCCCAACUGUGGAACUGCGACAGAAACUGCCUGGCUAGAGUGCGGGAGAGGAAAGUGGAAUUCCCAGUGUAGAGGUGAAAUUCGUAGAUACUGGGAGGAACACCGGUGGCGAAGGCGGCUUUCUGGACCGCAACUGACGCUGAGGCGCGAAAGCUAGGGGAGCGAACGGGAUUAGAUACCCCGGUAGUCCUAGCCGUAAACGAUGGGCACUAGGUGUAGGGGGUAUCGACCCCUUCUGUGCCGUAGCUAACGCAUUAAGUGCCCCGCCUGGGGAGUACGGUCGCAAAGACUAA